GGUAAAUUGAAUCUUAAUAAGAACCGAAGACAUAGCAAUGUAUUUAGUAAUGAAAGCCCAUUUAAUAGAGGAACUUUCAUAAUUAAAGACUCAUAUUGCAGCUAGAAAGAACACAGUCCCACUACAUUCAGUUUGUAUACAAAUCUUCUUGGAUAUGUUGUAUGCUUUACUCAGGCCUUACUGCUUUCUUCUUUUUGUCUGCUUCUUCAGGUUCUCUGCUUUCAUGCCAUGGUUUCUGAUUUUGCUCAGGAAUUUCCAAGCUUCUAUAAGGCCAGCAGUGAUUUCUAUGUCUCCUGCAGGUUCUUGUCUUGUGGGGCUGCCAGACCGCCACAGCCACGUGACCGGCUGUCUGAUUUCUGACUCAAGCUUUUCAUUUCCUAAAUGAUAACGGAUAAAAGAUAAAAUCUGGCACACACAGUGGUAAAUUUCCCAAUUGCCCCUCUGCUUGGAAAACACACAUACCCCAGGGUGAAUGUGAUGGAGAAUCUUUGGAAUGGCCCAGCACAAGGUUAUGCGUGUGCUGUGUUUUACAGCAAAUUAAUGAUGUCAGAUAUGUUGCCCUUGAGAAGUACCUAUACAUGCAAACAGAUAUCGGAAU
This 598-nucleotide long non-coding RNA is filed under the name Coturnix japonica (Japanese quail). RNAcentral describes it as "lncRNA (ENSCJPG00005007452.1)". The record is from RNAcentral. Lineage: Eukaryota; Metazoa; Chordata; Aves; Galliformes; Phasianidae.